This 913-nucleotide ribosomal RNA is filed under the name Vibrio sp. YACN-4. RNAcentral's name for it is "bacterial SSU rRNA". It matches the Rfam family "Bacterial small subunit ribosomal RNA", at positions 351 to 1262 of the family's 1533-position model. The record is from RNAcentral. Lineage: Bacteria; Pseudomonadati; Pseudomonadota; Gammaproteobacteria; Vibrionales; Vibrionaceae.
GGAGUUGGGGUUUGCCAUGGGCGCAGCCUGAUGCAGCCAUGCCGCGUGUGUGAAGAAGGCCUUCGGGUUGUAAAGCACUUUCAGUCGUGAGGAAGGUGGUGUAGUUAAUAGCUGCAUUAUUUGACGUUAGCGACAGAAGAAGCACCGGCUAACUCCGUGCCAGCAGCCGCGGUAAUACGGAGGGUGCGAGCGUUAAUCGGAAUUACUGGGCGUAAAGCGCAUGCAGGUGGUUAGUUAAGUCAGAUGUGAAAGCCCGGGGCUCAACCUCGGAACUGCAUUUGAAACUGGCUGACUAGAGUACUGUAGAGGGGGGUAGAAUUUCAGGUGUAGCGGUGAAAUGCGUAGAGAUCUGAAGGAAUACCGGUGGCGAAGGCGGCCCCCUGGACAGAUACUGACACUCAGAUGCGAAAGCGUGGGGAGCAAACAGGAUUAGAUACCCUGGUAGUCCACGCCGUAAACGAUGUCUACUUGGAGGUUGUGGCCUUGAGCCGUGGCUUUCGGAGCUAACGCGUUAAGUAGACCGCCUGGGGAGUACGGUCGCAAGAUUAAAACUCAAAUGAAUUGACGGGGGCCCGCACAAGCGGUGGAGCAUGUGGUUUAAUUCGAUGCAACGCGAAGAACCUUACCUACUCUUGACAUCCAGAGAACUUAGCAGAGAUGCUUUGGUGCCUUCGGGAACUCUGAGACAGGUGCUGCAUGGCUGUCGUCAGCUCGUGUUGUGAAAUGUUGGGUUAAGUCCCGCAACGAGCGCAACCCUUAUCCUUGUUUGCCAGCACUUCGGGUGGGAACUCCAGGGAGACUGCCGGUGAUAAACCGGAGGAAGGUGGGGACGACGUCAAGUCAUCAUGGCCCUUACGAGUAGGGCUACACACGUGCUACAAUGGCGCAUACAGAGGGCUGCCAACUUGCGAAA